RNAcentral lists this long non-coding RNA (2779 nucleotides) under Mytilus galloprovincialis (Mediterranean mussel). Lineage: Eukaryota; Metazoa; Mollusca; Bivalvia; Mytilida; Mytilidae. The record is from RNAcentral.
AAAAUUUUGAACCAACCGUUUUAUCAGAAAAAUUACACUGGUUAUAUAGCAGUUUGACAAACACUUAUUUUGAUCAUUGAGAAGCUUAAUAUCCCUUUAACUACACAACGUAAUUAAAAUGUUUAGCUGAUUUUAAAGAGUUAUCUCCCUGUAGUGUUAGGUACCACCUUAAUUGAUUAAAUAUCACAGGGAACAACACUGCUUCUUAUAAAAAAGACACAUUAUAUUUCAAUUGAAAUUUUUUUGGUCCGUUUAAAAGUGUCAAUGUUGAAUUACCAGGUUAUGUUAAACUGGAUGGGUAUUAUAUUAAACAUACUACAACUGAAGCUUGCAUGCGGUUUUAUGCUAUUUUUUUAACUUUAUGUUGAAAUAUCAUUGGUGAUUUUAUUGAAAUUGUUAAAGAAAAAGAUGUCAUAUCAUGCAAUGUCAGGGAGGAGAUUAUUUUUCUAUGCUCAGAUCAGGGAUAUUUUGAUUAUAAUCUGUAACUUCCGUAACAAUAUUGAAUAAUUGUGUAUUUGUAUAAAGUUAUGAUUUUUUUUUAACAACACCAGUAUUAAUAUUAUUGUUUUGAUUUGAAUAAUGUUAAUUGCAUUACUGUUAAUUAGAUUAAGCAUUUUCUACUCAUUAACUUUCCAGUCCAAGGAUGUCCAAUCAAAUCAUAUGUAGUAUUGUAUGAGGUAAGCAAUACCAAAAUUCUAUGUAAAGGCUAGUGGUUUCAGUUAAAAAAAAAUCAAGACUUUCUUGCGACUCGAGGUAAUGACAAUCUAAAAUCACCAUCACACAUUAGAUAAAGUGAUCACUAAAACUUAUUUUAGUUUGUGCACUGUACACUGUACAUGUAUCUGUAUUGAUCAAUGUACUGUACAUGCAAGGUUUGUUAAAGUAAACAAAAUGAUUGUCCAAUCUAUAGGUAGUACAUGAUUGCUCUGACUCCUUUUUUGUAACAUACUUGUAGCAAUCUUUGACUACUCCAUACCGGAGGCCAAAGCUGAAAUUUAGCAAAAUCUAACUGAACUGUAUGGUACUAUGGAUCUAAUCAUUUGUUGCCGAUAUCAACUUUUCUGUAUUGAGGCAAAAAUUCAUUUGGAUGAAUAUAUGAUUUUAAAUGACUUUAACAAAUUCUGCAUACUAACUAUCAAAUGAAAUUUGUAUUUACUUAAGCACUUAUGGUCAAGGAACAGUAAAUUCGUUUUUUAAGAAAAAAUGAUGCGUUUAUAAUUGAAGAUUUGAUGAUUUUAUGGCAAAUUAUUAUGAACUAUUUUCUCUCAGUGUUCUCAGAUUUUAUGUACUUUCAAAAUACAAAUGUCCUCCUGUUUUGAUAAAAUCAUACAAUAAUAUUUGAGAAAACGAGAAAUAUAAAAUGCAUUUUUCUUCUGUUUGUAGGUAUACUUCAGCAAGACCAAAUUUUAUGCAAAAUGUUACUAAAAUCUGUGACAUCCUGUUUACUUACUAUACCAUAAUUUGUUCAUCUUUUCAUAGAGAAUUCACGAUUUCUAGUACUGUUAAGGUGGUACCUAACACUACAGGGAGAUAACUCCGUAAAAUCAGCUAAACGUUUUAAUUACGUUGUGUUGUUAAGGGAAUAUUAAGCUUCUCAAUGAUCAAAAUAAGUGUUUGUCAAACUGCUAUAUAACCAGUGUAAAUUUUUCCGAUAAAACGGUUGGUUCAAAUUUUUUGAAAUUUUUAUAUUUUUGUCAAAGGGUCAACAUGGUCAAAGUGAAUACUUUGUCAAAAUUUUAUGAAAAUUAAACGAGCCAAAUUGAUUUUAGUGAAAGUGUUGGGUACCACCUUAAUUCAGAAAUUAUUGGGUGCAUUUAGAAGACUGGACAAAAAUGAGAGAUUAAUUAUUGUAAUUUCAGGAAAAUCUGCACACACUUAUAUCAUGUAUAUGUAUCUGCCUUAUGGACGUGAGUUCUUAUUAUUGCAAAAAAUCAACAUGUCUUGUUAUUUGCAUUUUUAAAAACUUCACAAUCAAUUCUGAAUUUACAGUAUUCCCAUCAGUGAUUAUGACUAACAUUAUUUACUGUGUAUUUGUAUCAUGAAUGUAGAUUCGACUACUGCAGCCAAUCAAUCUCAUUAAAAUACAGAUCCUGUGUCCCAGUUUUGUUUAUUAGGAUCUGACAACACUCUUAUUCUUUCUUAAUUUUGGGUCCUCAAUGCUAUUCAACUGCAUGCUUUAUUUGGCUUUUUUAAUUUUUCUUUGUUUCAAGCGUCGACGAUGAGUCUUUUGAAAUUUGGGCUCUGUUAAUUAUUACAUCAGCCAAUAAAAUUUCAGCCUUCAAAUUUUUGAAAUUGUGAUUUAUUUCGACAAAACCAGAAAAUUUUGAAAAAUCUUCAAAAACAGAAAUUACUUCUGGUCCUUGUAAUCAAAGAGUAGACUUAUGAUCUGUAUUUUAAUCAAAGUGGCGGUCAAUUGGUUUCAACAGAUCCCAGUUAAUGUGGAUUGUCAAUUUUAUAACAGACGCUUUGCCAAGCAUUGUCAUUGUUUGAAAAUUGUAAUGCAGAGAGUUGAGAGUUGUUUUAAUCCAUGUUAAGAUAUGGUAGACUUAUUUACUUUUAAUUUAAUGACUUUUAUGGAACAUGUCACCAAAUGUAAAUGUUCUGAAGAUCUGCAAUAAAUGUUUCUUUUCAUGCAAAGCAUGAUGAUUUCAGAAUUUGUCAUUUUAUUUAGCUCACCUGGCCCAAUAGUCUAAUAACUAGUCUACCAGUAAUCACUUGGCAUCUUUUCUUUAUAUAAGAAGGAAGUGCUUCAUUCUAAAAAUAUACGAACGGUCAAGGC